RNAcentral lists this ribosomal RNA (253 nucleotides) under uncultured bacterium. Its description in RNAcentral is "partial 16S ribosomal RNA". It matches the Rfam family "Bacterial small subunit ribosomal RNA", at positions 524 to 776 of the family's 1533-position model. The record is from RNAcentral.
UACGUAGGGGGCUAGCGUUGUCCGGAAUCAUUGGGCGUAAAGAGCGUGUAGGCGGCCCGAUAAGUCCGCCGUGAAAGUCCAGGGCUCAACCCUGGAAUGCCGGUGGAAACUGUCGGGCUCGAGUCCGGAAGAGGCGAGUGGAAUUCCUGGUGUAGCGGUGAAAUGCGCAGAUAUCAGGAAGAACACCAACGGCGAAGGCAGCUCGCUGGGACGGUACUGACGCUGAGACGCGAAAGCGUGGGGAGCGAACAGG